CAAGAGUUGAUUCGUUAAUUCGUCGAAGUACUAUAAAACUACAUAAAACAUUUCCCGUACAUUUUUAGGGAAUGCUGCACUUCAGCAGUUCUUGGUCGCAUAUAAAUUCGUGUCAUUCGAAUUAUGUAAAACUGCCUGUCGGGAAAAUAUCCUUCUAAUUUUCACUUGUUUUGCUUUUGUAGAGCUUUCGAUGUAUCUAUUGAGCAAUUGUUCCUGCAAGAAGAUGAAAUGGUGUACUCGUCGGGAUAUGAGCCAUUAAUGAAGGAUAUAAAUUUGAGCCAAGAACACUGACAUGGAGAUUACCAGCCAUCUACGUUAUAUUCCUUUAGCUUCCCUGGAAUUUGAGCAGUAAUUCGAAAAACUUUGAAAAUGCAAAUCGCGUUGAGUGGUUAACUCGAAAACUAUUUAUAAGCUUCCGGCAACCAAAGGAUGUAGAUUUGAAGAAGGAGGACUUCAGCUUUCCACGGAAGCCACUUUUACCCAUAAGAUCGGUUGCCCUUAUUUAAAGCCGCUUCAAUUAUUAUGAACUAAA
Anastrepha ludens (Mexican fruit fly) is the source of this 532-nucleotide long non-coding RNA. RefSeq lists it as uncharacterized. Lineage: Eukaryota; Metazoa; Arthropoda; Insecta; Diptera; Tephritidae. The record is from RefSeq and is a predicted model, not a curated record. The transcript is spliced from 3 exons.